GCUGCUGCGCUGGAUUUUUGUCUGACAACAAAGCAAUACAUUCACUUGAUACAAUGCAUUUCUCUCUGCUCUGGAAAAGCACACUGAUUAUUCAUGAGUAAAGUAUGGACUUACAAUGAAAAGGAGCAUUUUGAACUAUGGACUGAGGACCUUCCAAUCUUUUGGACGUUACCAGAGAGACUUUACAAGCUAACAGACUAUUCCAUCAGUGCUACAAACCAGAACGUAGAUAGAAAAGGGACUCCCAUCGUCAUCUGCAGCAGCCUGAUCCUCCAUCCCAUCUGACUCUCGUGGCAUUAAUUUGGAUAGACUAACAUCUUCAGCCCCACCAAAGUGUUCUGAAAGGAAGAGUGGAGGGCAAAUGGAUUCCACUACAAAAGGACUGGAGCUUGGACUCUUAAGUUUAAAAGUUAAGGCUGACAUACCAUCCUUCACACCUACAAGUUGUGCCUUUCUCUGAGAACUAUGUUGAAGCAUUAUGAUAACUGUGAUAUUGUCCUAGAAACAAAGAAAAAGAAAAAAAAUGUGGUCACUGGAAAAUAUUCAAAGCUGAAUCCUGCUAUUUUUAACAAAAAUAUGAAACCGGCUCUCUAUUCUAAUUGAAGUUGUCUGCUAAAAAAUAAAUUAUCUAUGGAGCAGCUGUCUGCUUUCCACAAGGCUGAAGCUACAUUCUGAUUGCAGCUUCAAACACAAGUGGACAAGAGGAAAGGUUGAGGAAUGUCAAGCCAAGGGGAAGAAAGAUGAGAAGUCACUGAAGAUGGACGCAAAGGAAAGGGACUCUGGGCACAGUAACCUGCCUCUAAUGAGGCCUCUGGUCACCUAAUUACACUGUAUGGGGAUCUCGAGCAUUUUAAUCCCUUGAACAGUGUGACCCCCCUGUAAGCAGGGUCCAGGUCUUAUACCUUUUCCCUUUCUUUUUGGAGGGAAGGAAGAUUGGUCAAGUUUAACACUGUGGGUCAAGUGACCUAUUGCAAUCAGCUCUCUUUCUAUUCUGGGAAGUCCCCCUUUGUUUUGUAUGUAUCUGUAUGUGAGUGAACGUGAUACAAAUGGGUGUAAACGUCUAUAUUUAUUUAUUUAUUUAUGUUGAGUUCUUUCAGUUAAAUCACUGCAGUGCUUUUUCUUUACUCUCCUCAGAAUUGGAAAAAGAGCUGAAUGUGUAUUAAUAUGUUAAUCCUCCUCCUCCCCACAAAAGGAAAGAGUAAAAGCUCAGAUAGCAUCUUUUAGUGCAUAGGAGAAUCUCUCUCCACUUCUGCUUUCUUCACGUUCAGUUCCUAUUAGUGGGCGAUGGCAAGGAUUGCCCUUUAAUGAGGGUGAUUUAGGUCAAAGGAAAUACAGGAUCUCCUAGUACCAGGGCAACUUGACCACUCUGUAUACAGGGUUUUGGUCUCUGCCCAUCAUUAUUUUGACAGCACGCCACAUCAGCAGGUUGGUGGGAGUCCUCAUUUUAUAACUGGGGGAGAGACCAAGACGCUGUGUAUUCUGGGGGAUAUAGAUCUCUCUGGAAACCUAAAAAGAGUGACAGCCGUGUAAGCUGGGUCCCGGUCUGUGCCACUGUGUCCUUUUGACAUUCUGCUCCGUUAUCUGGCUAGUGAGAGUGGAUGCCCUGUAAUCAGGGUGCCAGUCACCUCCGCCUGUCUUUGGAGGGGCAUUGAGCUCUUUGUUAAACUGAGCAAUGUGACCGCCCUGUAACUAGGGUCCGGGUCCGGGUCUCUGCCCUCUUGCUCAUUUGGCUUUACGCCAUGCUCUGCCCCACUAGUCAGCGUGACAACCCUGUAAUUAGGGUCCAUGUCACAAGUCUCUCUAGAAUGGGACCUAUCGAGCUCUUUGGUACUUUGACAGCUGGACCUUCCUGUAAUUCAGGUUAUGGUCUCUCCUAUUGGGCUAAUGCCAGCGACCACCCUGUAAUCGGGGUACAAGUUGCAUCUCGCUUUUGAAGUCUGGGGGAUUAGAAACUUUUCAGUAACAUGGGCAGCUUGACCUCCCUGUAACUAGGGUGUGUGUCUCCGAGGCCCUUUGGCUCUCUUGGCCUCGUGCUGUCUUCACAGCCUGCUGCGAACGACCGCCCUGUAAUCAGGGAUCGGGUCUUUGCCCUCUAGUCUCUAGGCACUAGGCCAAAUGCAGCCACUGCCCUGAAUGAGCACCCUGUAAACAGGGUACAGGUCUCAUCAGCUACUAUUUAUGGUGCCCCCAUGAGACUGUGUCCAGACUUCUGGCCCUUUAAGCAGCGCUUCCAACAUGCCUGGAAAUCUGCAGCCAAGUCUCCUGCUUUCUACUCCCUUCUUGGACUCUUGGACAGCUGACAUGCUAUUGGUGCACAAGUGGAGAAGAAGGAAGUGUCAGGAAUGCCACGCACAGAGGAGAUAAGAAGAUGGAGGAAAAGGAAAGGAACUCUGGGCACAGUAACCUCCCUCAAAUCAGGCCUCAGGUCAUGUAAUUAGACUGUAUGGGAAUCUCGAGCCUUUUAAUACCUGGAGCAGCGUGACCACCCUGUAAGCUGGGUCCCGGUCUGUGCCAUUGUGUCCUUUUGACAUUCUGCUCCGUUAUCUGGCUAGUGUGAGUGACUGCCCUGUAAUCAGGGUGCCAGUCACCUCCGCCUGUCUUUGGAGGGGCAUUGAGCUCUUUGUUAAACUGAGCAAUGUGACCGCCCUGUCACUGGGGUCCGGGUCUCUGCCCUCUUGCUCAUUUGGCUUUACGCUGUGCUCUGCCCCAUUAGUCAGCGUGACAACCCUGUAAUUAGGGUCCAUGUCACAAGUCUCUCUAGAAUGGGACCUAUCGAGCUCUUUGGUACUUUGACAGCUGGACCUUCCUGUAUUUCAGGUUAUGGUCUCUCCUAUUGGGCUAAUGCCAGCGACCACCCUGUAAUCGGGGUACAAGUUGCAUCUCGCUUUUGAAAUCUGGGGGAUUAGAAACUUUUCAGUAACAUGGGCAGCUUGACCUGCCUGUAACUAGGGUUUGUGUCUCUGAGGCCCUGAGGGUCUCCGUUAGCUGGUUAGUGAGGUGUGACUGCCCUGUAAUCAGGAUGCCAGUCACCUCCGCCUGUCUUUGGAGGGGCAUUGAGCUCUUUGUUAAACUGAGCAAUGUGACCGCCCUGUCACUGGGGUCCGGGUCUCUGCCCUCUUGCUCAUUUGGCUUUAUGCCGUGCUCUGCCCCACUAGUCAGCGUGACAACCCUGUAAUUAGGGUCUAUGUCACAAGUCUCUCUAGAAUGGGCCCUAUCGAGCUCUCUGGUACUUUGACAGCUUGACCUUCCUGUAAUUCAGGAUAUGGUCCCUGCUCUUUGGCUAAUGCCAGCGACCACCCUGUAAUCAGGGUACAGGUUGCAGCUCGCUCUUAAAAACUGGGAGAUUAGCAUCAUUUCACUAACAUGGGCAGCUUGACCUCCCUGUAACUAGGGUGUGUGUCUCCGAGGCCCUUUGGCUCUCUUGGCCUCGUGCUGUCUUCACAGCCUGCUGCGAACGACCGCCCUGUAAUCAGGGAUCGGGUCUUUGCCCUCUAGUCUCUAGGCACUAGGCCAAAUGCAGCCACUGCCCUGAAUGAGCACCCUGUAAACAGGGUACAGGUCUCAUCAGCUACUAUUUAUGGUGCCCCCAUGAGACUGUGUCCAGACUUCUGGCCCUUUAAGCAGCGCUUCCAACAUGCCUGGAAAUCUGCAGCCAAGUCUCCUGCUUUCUACUCCCUUCUUGGACUCUUGGACAGCUGACAUGCUAUUGGUGCACAAGUGGAGAAGAAGGAAGUGUCAGGAAUGCCACGCACAGAGGAGAUAAGAAGAUGGAGGAAAAGGAAAGGAACUCUGGGCACAGUAACCUCCCUCAAAUCAGGCCUCAGGUCAUGUAAUUAGACUGUAUGGGAAUCUCGAGCCUUUUAAUACCUGGAGCAGCGUGACCGCCCUGUAAGCUGGGUCCCGGUCUGUGCCAUUGUGUCCUUUUGACAUUCUGCUCCGUUAUCUGGCUAGUGUGAGUGACUGCCCUGUAAUCAGGGUGCCAGUCACCUCCGCCUGUCUUUGGAGGGGC
Long non-coding RNA from Mauremys reevesii (Reeves's turtle), 4009 nucleotides. RefSeq lists it as uncharacterized. Lineage: Eukaryota; Metazoa; Chordata; Testudines; Geoemydidae. The record is from RefSeq and is a predicted model, not a curated record. The transcript is spliced from 9 exons.